GACGAACGCUGGCGGCGUGCUUAACACAUGCAAGUCGAACGGAAAGGCCCUGCUUUUGUGGGGUGCUCGAGUGGCGAACGGGUGAGUAACACGUGAGUAACCUGCCCUUGACUUUGGGAUAACUUCAGGAAACUGGGGCUAAUACCGGAUAGGAGCUCCUGCUGCAUGGUGGGGGUUGGAAAGUUUCGGCGGUUGGGGAUGGACUCGCGGCUUAUGAGCUUGUUGGUGGGGGAGUGGCUUACCAAGGCUUUGACGGGUAGCCGGCCUGAGAGGGUGACCGGCCACAUUGGGACUGAGAUACGGCGCAGACUCCUACGGGAGGCAGCAGUGGGGAAUAUUGCACAAUGGGCGGAAGCCUGAUGCAGAAACGCCGCGGGCGGGAUGACGGCCUUCGGGUUGUAAACCGCUUUCGCCUGUGACGAAGCGUGAGUGACGGUAAUGGGUAAAGAAGCACCGGCUAACUACGUG
This 468-nucleotide ribosomal RNA is filed under the name uncultured bacterium. RNAcentral describes it as "partial 16S ribosomal RNA". It matches the Rfam family "Bacterial small subunit ribosomal RNA", at positions 28 to 507 of the family's 1533-position model. The record is from RNAcentral.